Molecule: ribosomal RNA, 380 nt
Filed under: uncultured Rhodocyclaceae bacterium
Lineage: Bacteria; Pseudomonadati; Pseudomonadota; Betaproteobacteria; Rhodocyclales; Rhodocyclaceae
Description: bacterial SSU rRNA
Rfam family: Bacterial small subunit ribosomal RNA
Source: RNAcentral
UUUGGGAGUGCUCGCAAGAGAGCCGGAACACAGGUGCUGCAUGGCUGUCGUCAGCUCGUGUCGUGAGAUGUUGGGUUAAGUCCCGCAACGAGCGCAACCCUUGUCAUUAGUUGCCAUCUAUUUGGUUGGGCACUCUAAUGAGACUGCCGGUGACAACCGGAGGAAGGGUGGGGAUGACGUCAAGUCCUCAUCGGCCCUUAUGGGUAGGGCUUCACACGUCAUACAAUGGUCGGUACAGGAGGGUUGCCCAACCCGCGAGGGGGAGCUAAUCCCACAAAGCCGAUCGUAGUCCGGAUCGCAGUCUGCAACUCGACUGCGUGAAGUCGGAAUCGCUAGUAAUCGCGGAUCAGCAUGUCGCGGUGAAUACGUUCCCGGGCCUU